UGGGGCCUCCCAGGGGAGAUGAGUCUUGAGGUGGGCCAUGAAGAAUUGACUGGAUGUGAUACAGUGAAGAGUUGGAAAGGAAGUUAAAGGAAUCUUCAUGAGGAAAAGAAGAGAAGCAAGGACAGUAUGGGAAGUGAGCCAGGGAAGAAUCCAAAGGGCAGAUAGUUGUCUCUGACCCAGGCCUGGCCCAGGAGAUGGUGGGUGGGGAGGCCUGUGUCUACUGGGGGAGCCUGAGGUGAAGGUCUGGAGAAGGAAAUGGCAACCCACUCCAGUAUUCUUGCCUGGAGAAUCCCAUGGACAGAGGAGCCUGGCAGGCUACAGUCCAUGGGGUCACAAGGAGUCAGACACGACUGAGCAACUAAGCAGGGGGUGAAGGUCAGUGAUGCUGAGUCCCAGCAGAGAGGGCCCCAGACGCCAGGAGAAAUCAGAGGCUGCCAGAGGAGGCCCAGCCUGUGGUGGCCAGUGUCCGCUCUGAGGAGUGUCAGAGCCUCCUGAGUUCCUUAGCCAUCUCGAGGAAUCCAGGUUCUAUGCUCCUGUUUUGUCGGGAACGGCCCACAGUGAUUGGAGAAACCCCCACUGUUCAACGUCUCGCGCUGAACUUUGUGGCAUCUGGGAUUCCCUAAGGAUAAGGAGGAUGUGGGCUUCCACUGCCUUCACACCGUGGUCCUGCGCCUGGGCUGGGACGUCCCUGAAGCUUCCCUCCCUGUGGGCUGAGAGCUUCUGGAAACUGAAGAACGAAGUACCACGCUAUUUUACAGAAAACCAGAACCCCCCUGAGACUUGAUCAGUUAUGACAACUGAGGACGAGAGCAAAGAGCAAAUCCUUUUGAAAGGAUUUCUGCCUCAGUGGGAGGUGUAAGAAGCUGCUAGCCUGACUUUGCUUGCCUGCAGGACAGCUGGAAGCAGAUGUAAUGUUGAUACUUUCAAGUAAUUGCACUUACAACACAAUCUACUCUCUUCUGCAAGGAGUCUGUUGUGAUACUUUGAUUCUUAGACUAGAAAAGCUGUUUAAACAAAGUACUUUCCCUUCCAUGGUGAUUUAACUGUCUAACUAUGGGGAGAAAAAUAAAGCUUUCACAAACCUAGGUAACUUAAGCUCAAAAUCCUUUCAACACUUCAGGCAAUUCUCCAUUCCCUUCACCUUAAAUGAUUUUUGUCACUCUCAACAGGAGCAAGACUCCCUUUGACGCGGAGUUAAUAAAAAUUGUUAACUCAUUUUCUUCAGCUUGAUGCUACAAAUCAGCAAAUAGUUUAAGAAUGGUUUCACUAUGCCAAACUAAGUCUGUUUUUCUAUCUCCCAGUCCUCAGUUAUCUAUAUGCAUAAUCAUGAAGUAACUGGGUAUAACUAUCUUACUUACAUAAGUCAGGAGCGAUAUUUUAAAAAUAAAUUUGUGUGUGUGCUAAGUCGCUUCAGUCGU
RNAcentral lists this long non-coding RNA (1418 nucleotides) under Cervus hanglu yarkandensis (Yarkand deer). RNAcentral describes it as "lncRNA (ENSCHYG00000010453.1)". The record is from RNAcentral. Lineage: Eukaryota; Metazoa; Chordata; Mammalia; Artiodactyla; Cervidae.